UACGUAGGGACCGAGCGUUGUCCGGAUUCAUUGGGCGUAAAGAGCUCGUAGGCGGCUGCUCAAGUCGAAUGUGAAAACUCGAGGCUCAACCUCGAGCCUGCAUUCGAUACUGGGCGGCUAGAGUCUGGUAGGGGGAUCUGGAAUUCCUGGUGUAGCGGUGAAAUGCGCAGAUAUCAGGAAGAACACCCGUGGCGAAGGCGGCUCUCUGGGACGGUACUGACGCUGAGACGCGAAAGCGUGGGGAGCGAACAGG
RNAcentral lists this ribosomal RNA (253 nucleotides) under uncultured bacterium. Its description in RNAcentral is "partial 16S ribosomal RNA". It matches the Rfam family "Bacterial small subunit ribosomal RNA", at positions 524 to 776 of the family's 1533-position model. The record is from RNAcentral.